Molecule: ribosomal RNA, 253 nt
Filed under: uncultured bacterium
Lineage: Bacteria
Description: partial 16S ribosomal RNA
Rfam family: Bacterial small subunit ribosomal RNA
Source: RNAcentral
GACGGAGGAUGCAAGUGUUAUCCGGAAUCACUGGGCGUAAAGAGUGUGUAGGCGGUGCUCUAAGUUCGGUGUGAAAUCUCCCGGCUCAACUGGGAGGGUGCAUCGAAAACUGGGGUGCUCGAGGGUGGGAGAGGUAAGCGGAAUUCCGGGUGUAGCGGUGGAAUGCGUAGAGAUCCGGAGGAAGACCGGUGGCGAAGGCGGUCUGCUGGGCAGUUUCUGACACUGAUGCGCGACAGCGUGGGGAGCAAACAGG